This 205-nucleotide long non-coding RNA is filed under the name Jatropha curcas. RNAcentral describes it as "long non-coding RNA (JCUR_LNC001925)". Lineage: Eukaryota; Viridiplantae; Streptophyta; Magnoliopsida; Malpighiales; Euphorbiaceae. The record is from RNAcentral.
GGCAGACAUGGCGUCCUCAUCUUUGUCAACAUCAUCAUCUUCCCUUGUUUCAAGUAAAGAUAGCAAUGAUGAUAUUCUUCAAUCAAUAAUAGUAAAAAGUAAAACUGACAAAAAAGAAAAAGGAAAAGCAAAGUUAAAACAAAAAAGCAAAGUAAAAAGAAAAGAAAAGAAAAAGAAGGACACUUCGUCCUCAUCUGAUUAAAAG